GUGGACAGAGAUAAAGAUGGCGGAUUUGGACUUCAGUCCAUGGGAUGUUUUGUCAAUGCGAUCAUUUCUUAUUUAGAGAGAAGUACCGGUACAUGACAAGCGCAAAGAGGAACUGAUCCAGUUGUGCAACGCUGCACAACUAAUAGGCUUGCCAAAGGUACUCUCUAACGCUGGCCAUUCAGCCAGUCUCGAACAAUCUGUCACGCAAAAGCUGACAUUGGACGGCGGUUUGAUUACGCUACCCAACCCAACUUCUUUGUCUGCAGGAUGGGAAGCAGACGGAUCAAGUUUACCUGAUCUGCUACAAGCAGGUGUGGAAAAGUACUUUGAGAGAACAUCUGCAGCAUACAUUCAUGAUGAAAAUUUUUAAAGAACUUGUUUACGAGGAAAACAAGGAUGUCAACAUUACAACAGCAGGCAAGGAGGCUCUCCGUGACGGA
Molecule: long non-coding RNA, 440 nt
Organism: Branchiostoma belcheri (Belcher's lancelet)
Lineage: Eukaryota; Metazoa; Chordata; Leptocardii; Amphioxiformes; Branchiostomatidae
Exons: 3
Source: RefSeq, a predicted model, not a curated record